Molecule: ribosomal RNA, 490 nt
Filed under: uncultured bacterium
Lineage: Bacteria
Description: partial 16S ribosomal RNA
Rfam family: Bacterial small subunit ribosomal RNA
Source: RNAcentral
GAUGAACGCUAGCGAUAGGCUUAACACAUGCAAGUCGAGGGGCAGCAUGGUCUUAGCUUGCUAAGACUGAUGGCGACCGGCGCACGGGUGCGUAACGCGUAUGCAACUUGCCUCACAGAGGGGGAUAACCCGUCGAAAGACGGACUAAUACCGCGUACACUUGGGAUAGGGCAUCCUGACCCAAGGAAAUGAAAUUCGCUGUGAGAUAGGCAUGCGUCCCAUUAGCUAGUUGGUGAGGUAACGGCUCACCAAGGCGACGAUGGGUAGGGGAACUGAGAGGUUGAACCCCCACACUGGUACUGAGACACGGACCAGACUCCUACGGGAGGCAGCAGUGAGGAAUAUUGGGCAAUGGGCGAGAGCCUGAACCAGCCAAGUCGCGUGAAGGAUGACUGUCUUAUGGAUUGUAAACUUCUUUUAUACGGGAAUAACAAGAGCCACGUGUGGCUCCCUGCAUGUACCGUAUGAAUAAGCAUCGGCUAACUCCGUG